This is a long non-coding RNA of Gallus gallus (chicken), 648 nucleotides long. Lineage: Eukaryota; Metazoa; Chordata; Aves; Galliformes; Phasianidae. The record is from Ensembl.
CUGUCCUUGGUGAAGCUUUCCCCAGUAAGCCUGGAAUCUUCUGAUACAGCAUCUGCCUGCAUGUUGGACAUUCACAGGAUGACAUUUGGAAGACCUUGCUGCAGGGUUUUGUCUGAUAUUUAAGUUUGCAGUCUUCUAAGGCUCUACUCUAGGCUCUCAACCCAUGGCCUGGGUCUCCAUGCCCCCCAACUCCUCCACCACACAGUACAGAAAUGGACACUGCAAAUUUCUGUCUGAGGCCAGCCUUGGCAGCGGAGCCAACGAGAAGAGAAACAGCCUGUGCUCUAAUAAGUAAAAUAUUUAUGUCUUGCUUUGGCUAACAUACCCUCUCUCAAUAAAAUAUUUUUCCCAGGAGGAAAUCUAUGAAAGGGAGGGAGCUCCUUUAUUAUGUCCCCAAAUCAUUCUUUUCUGCUGCCCUUCAAAAGCCUGGAAAUCAAAGACCACUGUAGUCCAAAGCUUUUUGUUGCCGUUCUUGACUUUGUUAUCGUUAGUUAUUACAAUCAUUACAUUGAUUACCAUUAUGAGCUCUCAAGAGGCCCUGGCUAAUCAGCACCCCAUUCCAGGAAACGCUCUGACAAAUCUCUCGCAGCAUAUGCAUACACAAAGCUUGUAGUCUAAAAAGACCAGCUUAAACAGACUGUUAACCCG